Molecule: ribosomal RNA, 497 nt
Filed under: uncultured bacterium
Lineage: Bacteria
Description: partial 16S ribosomal RNA
Rfam family: Bacterial small subunit ribosomal RNA
Source: RNAcentral
GCUGAACGCUGGCGGCGUGCCUAAUACAUGCAAGUCGAGCGAACAGAUGAGGAUCUUUCUCCUCUGACGUUAGCGGCGGACGGGUGAGUAACACGUGGAUAACCUACCUAUAAGACUGGGAUAACUUCGGGAAACCGGAGCUAAUACCGGAUAAUAUCUUGAACAGCAUGGGUCAAUAGUGAAAGACGGGUUUGCUGUCACUUAUAGAUGGAUCCGCGCCGCAUUAGCUAGUUGGUAAGGUAACGGCUUACAAAGGCAACGAUGCGUAGCCGACCUGAGAGGGUGAUCGGCGACACUGGAACUGGGACACCGUCCAUGCUACUACGGGAGGCCGCAGUCGGGAAUCUUCCGCAAUGGGCGAAAGACUGACGGAGCAACGGCGCGUGAGUGAUGAAGGUCUUGGGAUCGUAAAACCGUGUUAUUAGGGAACAACAAAUGUGUAAGUAAAUAUGCCAGGAUUGACGGUACCUAAUCAGAAAGCCACGGCUAACUACGUG